GAAGGUAUAGCUCAGUGGUAGAGUGUGUGCCUAGCAUGCAUGAGGUCCUGGGUUCAAUCCCCAGUACCUCUG
This 72-nucleotide transfer RNA is filed under the name Camelus bactrianus (Bactrian camel). It matches the Rfam family "tRNA". Rfam says of the family: Transfer RNA (tRNA) molecules are approximately 80 nucleotides in length. Their secondary structure includes four short double-helical elements and three loops (D, anti-codon, and T loops). Lineage: Eukaryota; Metazoa; Chordata; Mammalia; Artiodactyla; Camelidae. RNAcentral also lists the same sequence under 3 other names. The record is from Rfam by way of RNAcentral.